CGGCAGUGAGUCGAUAGCGCCCUUU
Molecule: microRNA, 25 nt
Filed under: Oikopleura dioica
Lineage: Eukaryota; Metazoa; Chordata; Appendicularia; Copelata; Oikopleuridae
Description: odi-miR-1483-5p
Source: miRBase by way of RNAcentral